UGCUCAGCUUGGACUGAGCUGGCUCCUGAGCAGUCGUCCUCAGAUAUGGUUUAGUGACUGGAGGUUAUGGACAGCUGAGCAGAAACAAACAAACAUAUAAAUAAAUUCCUUAAGAAUUGGCAAUAUAGAAAGCAAAAGUUUUGAUUUGGGGAUAAUUAAGGCUUGAUGGGAAAAGUCUCGUGCAAUCUGGUAUCCUUAUCACUGUUAAAAGAAGUUCUAAUAGGAUACUUCUUGGAUAGUUUAAUGAGUCAGUUUCUUUCUUUUUUUUUCCCCCUUCCAUCCCUCUUUCCCUCUCUCCGUCCUUCCUUCCCUCCUUUGCUUCUGAGUGUUCUUGUCUGGGCCUGACAGGUGUCUGUUUCUCUGGAAGUCUGAGAAGAGCUGCCCCCCUUGCCUUCCCCCAGCCCCUUCCCUUUUGUUUCUCAGGCUGGGUAGGCAGAGAACAUGGCACGUCACUGCAGCAAACCAAAGCAGAGGGCCCCGGUCCUCCUCACAGCAGCAGGGUGGCUGUGCGGAAGCUGGCGGGUUUCUGGAAGAGUGCUCAUUGAGAAUGCUAAGCCUCCUCCCAGACCUUCUGGCUUCUCUGCUGGGGAUGCAGACGGUCUGCACAGCGGCCUAAUCCAUUACUGUAAUUCCUGUGCUUCCAGAAACCACUCCCUCACCUGCGAGAGACUCCAACUUGCCAGCUGCCCAGGGAGGACAAAAUGGAGCAUUGCCACGUGGCCCAGGAAGGGAGGCUCCUGUUAGGCGUGCCUGCCAAUUCUUGGGAUGUUAAGCACCACUUUGGAUUAAAAGUGGGUUUUCUCAAACAUACCCUUGCCCACCAGCCAGCCAGACUGCAGAGGAGCACCUUGCGUGCCGAACGAAGAGGAUGAGCGGGCCUUUGUCCGACCAUCCUCUCCUGGGCCAGUGACCCCGCGGAGUGUGUAUCUGUGCACGCUUGUAAACGAGCAGGGUGUGAGGCACAGGCAGAGAUGGGCCAGUUUCAGUUCCUAUCAUGGUUUUAUAACCUCAGAGUUAAUUUCCUCCUCCGGAAAGUCAAGGGAACAGCUGUCACCAGCCAUGCACGCCCUGCCGCCCCUGAGUGGUGGCUGGUGAAGGCCACUCAGUAAGCACAGAUGCAAGGCUUGGAUUUCUCAAGCUUGAGAAGGAACCAAUUGCUAGGAGGGGAAGGGGUGUGGCGGGGUGCACGAGGGCCACCCCUCUACCCUCCUCCCUGGAAUUGCAAAAGGCAUCAUUGUUGGUAAGGCCUUGGGCUCCUUGGUCCGUCUGCACUCACCCCCUGGCAGGAGGAGAGAUGCUGGCCGGUGUUAUUCUCAUUUUCCACAACACAGGUUUGUUCGGCUGCACGGGCUCCAAAGGGAACCCUGGGAUGUUUUGACGCCAGAAUUCAGGAAAAUCAGUGACCUGGUGAUUCGGAAAAAUAGCUGAAGGAGCGCGGUGGCUCCAGCUCUGUGCAGAUCACAGUGCGCCCUCCCAGGCCCAGCUCUGGGGACCAGGCUUUGUGCGGCGUCCUGACGCUGGGCGGAGGUUUGGAAUCAGAGGAUUCUAGGCAGGGCCGGGAAUGCUGGACUCUUUGGCACCCUCCUCCCCCAGACCUCCCGCCCCCGCAACAGCACCCCAGCAGGGCAGCAGCUCCAUCCUGCGGGUGGCACACCGGGAGAUCCUGGGCCUGGCAUCACCACAUCCUUACAGUUCAGCGGAUCCCAAGGCAUGCAGCGGAGGGAGGCACCAUGAGGCUUUGUUGGCCUCUGGGGCUGGCUGGGAACAUCUCUGAUGAUGAUUCACCGGGAAGUCAGUAGUCAUCUCCUCUGUUUCGCAAAGAGGGGGGACUGGCAACACCGCAGGGUGACCUGCCUGAAGCCACAGAAGGAAGAGGAAUAACUGGGAGGAAAAAACUGAGGUUGAAGGCCUGAGGCUCGUGAGCUGUUCUGGGAAGGGCUCGGCUCUCCCAGCGAAGGGCCUGUGUGACGUGACCAUGGUACUCAGUGGAGCCCUGAGCAUCCAGGAGCUUCUCCAGGCCCUGUGGUCUCCCUCUGGCCAGGCCUGCAGACUUGCCCUUAGGCACAAAUCCCUGCCAGUAGUUCCCUUGCAGGCCAGCUCCUAGGAGAGGGGCCCACAGCCCAGACACUUUGCCCAGGUGGCUGGCAGCUCAGGAACUGGUAAGACUGGUUUCCAGUGCUGGCUCCGGGUGGGCAGAAGGCAGAGCUGCUGCUACCAAUUUAAAGGAGACUAUAAAAGCUUCUGGAAUCUACAACGCAGUCUACUGGCCACCUCCCCUGGACAUUCAACCCCUAGGAUAUGAUCCUGUAAGACGGUGACCUCUUUGUUAAACCAUCUGGGAAUAAAUUGUGUAGGAAUUUAUCCGACAUCCCCUUAGAGAAUUACCAGGGGUCUGAUUUUACUCCAAACCACUUGCUUUCGUCUCCGAAAAAGUUAAGACCGCGAAGUAUUUUUAAACGGAUUUUCCCUGUUGGAUUUGAUGCUUAUAAGAAUCAGUUAUAAAAACCCUACACUCUAUGUGAGACAGUUUAUUCUUCAGUGAAGACAUGGAAGCUCUAAGAAGAACACUGGGCCGCGAGAGGAAGGCUGGGACGCCAGAGCGCAGGAAGCAUGGGAAGGAAGCACAGCGUGGAGGGGGAGUGCUGGGGACCCCAGCUGCCCGCAGCGUGGGGUUGGCUGGGUCCCUCACCCUCUGCCCACUGCACCGCCAAGCCUCAUCCUUCUCUCCCUCUUCACCCUGGUCUGUGCUGGCAGAUGCUCCUGCCAAAGCUUACUUCAUCGGAUGAAAUGAAGGGGAAAUCUGAUUUGCCACUAAUUGGACUUACUGUAGGCAAUUAAGGUUAAACUGACAUGAAGGGACUAUCAGACACUGGGAUUUUCAGUGUUUUUCUUCACAUUCCUGGGAACUUUUUCCAGAAUCUAAGUGAUUAUAAAUUGGGAUACUGAAUGCGGUAUCAGGGUUUGAAAUCACUUUAAGUCAGGACCCUGGAAGUAGUGUUUGCGUUCUCAUUGUGUAAGUUGACAUACACUGUACGGAUACAUGGUCUGUAUAAGGUUUACGGGGUGUGUGUGCAUAAGAAUAUAUGCAGUAUAUAUAUAUAUAGUACAUGGGGUGUAUCUAUGUGGGGUGAGCUGGAUUUCUCUCUCUCUCUAGGUAACCAAGAGUGUUUAAUAAUAAUAAGUGCACAGGGUGGCUUCCUUUUAUUUUCUAAAUUAAGCCUAUUUUCUAUUUUAGAGUUAACAGAUUUAAUUCUAUUAACUCUAACUCUAUUUUCUAAUAACUCUUUAAUUCCUGUUGGGAUCAGUCAUUCACAGAUAAAGAGAGCUGGAACGUUG
Molecule: long non-coding RNA, 3336 nt
Organism: Canis lupus familiaris (dog)
Lineage: Eukaryota; Metazoa; Chordata; Mammalia; Carnivora; Canidae
Exons: 3
Source: RefSeq, a predicted model, not a curated record